UAGGGAAUCUUCCGCAAUGGACGCAAGUCUGACGGAGCAACGCCGCGUGAGUGAAGAAGGUUUUCGGAUCGUAAAACUCUAUUGUUAGAGAAGAACAAGUGCUAGAGUAACUGUUAGCGCCUUGACGGUAUCUAACCAGAAAGCCACGGCUAACUACGUGCCAGCAGCCGCGGUAAUACGUAGGUGGCAAGCGUUGUCCGGAUUUAUUGGGCGUAAAGCGAGCGCAGGCGGUUCCUUAAGUCUGAUGUGAAAGCCCCCGGCUCAACCGGGGAGGGUCAUUGGAAACUGGGGAACUUGAGUGCAGAAGAGGAGAGUGGAAUUCCAUGUGUAGCGGUGAAAUGCGUAGAUAUAUGGAGGAACACCAGUGGCGAAGGCGACUCUCUGGUCUGUAACUGACGCUGAGGCUCGAAAGCGUGGGUAGCAAACAGGAUUAGAUACCCUGGUAGUCCACGCCGUAAACGAUGAGUGCUAAGUGUUGGAGGGUUUCCGCCCUUCAGUGCUGCAGUUAACGCAUUAAGCACUCCGCCUGGGGAGUACGACCGCAAGGUUG
RNAcentral lists this ribosomal RNA (550 nucleotides) under uncultured bacterium. Its description in RNAcentral is "bacterial SSU rRNA". It matches the Rfam family "Bacterial small subunit ribosomal RNA", at positions 355 to 896 of the family's 1533-position model. The record is from RNAcentral.